This 293-nucleotide ribosomal RNA is filed under the name Escherichia coli. RNAcentral describes it as "partial 23S ribosomal RNA". It matches the Rfam family "Bacterial large subunit ribosomal RNA", at positions 1088 to 1379 of the family's 2925-position model. The record is from RNAcentral. Lineage: Bacteria; Pseudomonadati; Pseudomonadota; Gammaproteobacteria; Enterobacterales; Enterobacteriaceae.
GACAGCCAGGAUGUUGGCUUAGAAGCAGCCAUCAUUUAAAGAAAGCGUAAUAGCUCACUGGUCGAGUCGGCCUGCGCGGAAGAUGUAACGGGGCUAAACCAUGCACCGAAGCUGCGGCAGCGACGCUUAUGCGUUGUUGGGUAGGGGAGCGUUCUGUAAGCCUGCGAAGGCGUGCUGUGAGGCAUGCUGGAGGUAUCAGAAGUGCGAAUGCUGACAUAAGUAACGAUAAAGCGGGUGAAAAGCCCGCUCGCCGGAAGACCAAGGGUUCCUGUCCAACGUUAAUCGGGGCAGGG